GGAAUCUUGCGCAAUGGGGGAAACCCUGAUCAUGCAACGCCGCGUGGAUGAUGAAGUACCUCGGUACGUAAAAUCCUUUCGACAGGGAAGAAACUCUUCGGAGCUGACGGUACCUGUAGAAGAAGCCCCGGUUAACCCCGUGCCAGCGGCCGCGGUACUACGGGGGGGGCAAGCGUUGUUCGGAUUUACUGGGCGUAAAGGGUGCGUAGGCGGUUUGCUAAGUCGGAUGUGAAAACUGGGGGCUCAACCCUCAGCCUGCAUCCGAUACUGGCAGACUAGAGUGCGAGAGGGGAAGGCGGAAUUCCUGGUGUAGCGGUGAAAUGCGUAGAUAUCAGGAGGAACACCGGUGGCGAAGGCGGCCUUCUGGAUCGCAACUGACGCUGAGGCGCGAAAGCUAGGGGAGCAAAC
RNAcentral lists this ribosomal RNA (408 nucleotides) under uncultured bacterium. RNAcentral describes it as "bacterial SSU rRNA". It matches the Rfam family "Bacterial small subunit ribosomal RNA", at positions 358 to 773 of the family's 1533-position model. The record is from RNAcentral.